UUGGAGAGGUUUGAUCCUGGCUCAGGAUGAACGCUGGCGGCGUGCCUAAUACAUGCAAGUCGAGCGAACAGAUAAGGAGCUUGCUCCUUUGACGUUAGCGGCGGACGGGUGAGUAACACGUGGAUAACCUACCUAUAAGACUGGGAUAACUUCGGGAAACCGGAGCUAAUACCGGAUAACAUAUUGAACCGCAUGGUUCAAUAGUGAAAGGCGGCUUUGCUGUCACUUAUAGAUGGAUCCGCGCCGUAUUAGCUAGUUGGUAAGGUAACGGCUUACCAAGGCAACGAUACGUAGCCGACCUGAGAGGGUGAUCGGCCACACUGGAACUGAGACACGGUCCAGACUCCUACGGGAGGCAGCAGUAGGGAAUCUUCCGCAAUGGGCGAAAGCCUGACGGAGCAACGCCGCGUGAGUGAUGAAGGUCUUCGGAUCGUAAAACUCUGUUAUCAGGGAAGAACAAAUGUGUAAGUAACUGUGCACAUCUUGACGGUACCUGAUCAGAAAGCCACGGCUAACUACGUGCCAGCAGCCGCGGUAAUA
This 540-nucleotide ribosomal RNA is filed under the name Staphylococcus sp. Its description in RNAcentral is "bacterial SSU rRNA". It matches the Rfam family "Bacterial small subunit ribosomal RNA", at positions 1 to 525 of the family's 1533-position model. Lineage: Bacteria; Bacillati; Bacillota; Bacilli; Caryophanales; Staphylococcaceae. The record is from RNAcentral.